UGAAACAUUUUGAUCGAACUUUUCCACUUGUAGAUACCACUUGAAGCCAGUGCUGCACCUCCAUAUUUUUUUUUCAGACGAGAAUGGAAUGUGUUGUUUGAACUGAAAUUACAUUCUGGGGUAGAAUAGAAGAGGGCAGAAGGAAAGACAUGUUAUUUGUUAGGAUAAGUAUGCUAUGGGUUUUGUGGUACUGUGGGAAAGCUUGCUCUUGCUGCGUCUACUCAGAAUCCCAAAUCCCACAUCCACAUCACCUUGAUUCCCACCACGUUUUCCUCUGUGCCUCCUUCCACACAGUGACAGAAAAAGCCAGAUUUUUUUUGACUAAUCUAAUGUACUUUUUUCUCCUCAGUCUCUUCUGUCUCUCCCCAUUGCUUCCAGAAGGGGAGGGACUAUUUCUCUCCAUUACAGGCCAUCAUAGGGCUUUCUGACAUCACUUCCAAUGCAUUCCUUGCCUCCAUUCACCCAGGAAGAAUCUGCUGCGUUUUGAUAUCUGUCUCAGGUCACUCAUCACACAGCUAUGUGCCAGCAGGAAGUAUGCUGCUCUUCUGGUAGACUAAACAAAAGGAAAUCCACCUGGGACGGAGAGGAGACACUGGUAUCCCUUUUAACAACUUCACUUCUAAAUCACCCUUCCAUCCCCUGCCUUCAUCUCCCUCCCUCUAGCACAGAUGCCAAACUAAAGCAAAGCGAACACAAACAAAGGACACCUGUUCCCAGCCCUACUAAAGAGAGAAAAGCUGCUAGCGCCUAAAGGCUAAAGCUGAGCUGAACGUAUUAUGGCUACAGAAGUUGGCUAGGCUGCAGAUAUACCUGCGCAAGGGAAAUAUGAGCCUAUCGCACAAUGCCAGCAAAUAACAACUAAAAAGUAACUUACGUCACAGGAGGAUGGCAGGGGGAAAUCAAGGUACAAUUAUCACCACUCCUCUGCGCCCAUAUAUCAUCUUGUUGGCAUGUACACAAGUGUUCCUUCAAUAUAAAUUAUUAAAAAAAAGUAAAAAAAAUGGUAAUUUGCUGUCAACACUUACAGCAGGCGACCACACUCUCCCCUCACUUGUUACAGAGCUCGCACAAAUUCUUCUUUUUUUGCAGACGUCAUGGUCAUCAUCAGUGUGAGCAGAGGGAUGCUUCUUGUAGCAUGCCCUGGAGAUCAACAGACCCAAGCUAUUUCAGACCAGUGAGUCCUUUCCAGAGCUGAGAGCUCCUCACAGAGACUGCUCUGCAACCAUCACCUUCUUUUUCAGCUUGAGUGGCUUUUCUUCUUGCAGCCGUGGCAGUACGGCAGAAAGGAGAUGGGAUAGCUCUCUCGCGUGUCCAGCACUCCUUUUCUCACUGCUAGUGAUUCAAAGGAUUAAAGCAGAAGGAUAUAAAGCAACAGAUGGGGAUUUCAUUCAUUUCCCGUGCUUUGAAAACAGACUCUAAGAAAUACAUCCAUUGUUAUUGUGACCUCCAGUACGAUGAAUGCAGAUUUCAGUUUGAGAUGGGAGGGGAAUGUUGCUGGGUCCAGGGAAGUGGGCACCACAGUGGAGAGAAAUGCUCUGGUGAUAUUUUAUCCUCAUUAUUCAAGCAAAAAGUCAGUUUGUAGCAAAGGUCAGUGCAUCAAAGAUGUACAAAAUACUCCUGUUUUUCUCCAUCCCUUCCCCUUCCCCUGCGGAUCCAGCGCAGAGGAGCAGAAGCCAGAGGGGGUGGCAGUGGAAGAGGUGAACCCCAACUACGGCUCCUGUGGCAAGGUGCUGGGCCCUCAGGGCUGCCCCUGGUACUGGAAAAAAAACCCAGCAAACAAACAGAAAACAGAAGCAAGAAGUUGCUUGUGGGAGAAGGAAGGCCAUGGCAAUCGGUGGCCUGGCUCCCAUGCCGCCUGAAGCCGUGGAGAGGGAACUGGCUGGUUCUGAAGCUGCUCAUGUGAUUUUUGGGACACACUUUUAUGGCAGAAGAGGGAACUGUAGCCUUUCCACCCCUGAUCAGUGGGGCAGCCUUGUGUGGGUGGUCUAUGGAGAGGAAGGAGAGGAUUACCCUCAGUUCCCUGUCUCCCCAGGUUGCUCGUCGGAGGGCUCCCGGGGUGAACCUGGGGCUUCAGUCCUAGGGCAAGGGGUGGAGGAAACAGUCUCCAGAAAUGGCCUCAUCCUUCUUUUAACAGAUCCAAAGGGAAAGAUGAGUCCCAUGGAAGAGGCUUUUCCUUCGGAGUUUCAUAACCUAGGAGUGCUGUGGAACUUCCAGAAGCCAGAUGUGAUAGAGGACAUUAGCUUUUCCAGAGUCUUCACUUUUAAUCUCCACCUGUGAAGAAUUGGGUCAAUUCUGCAUGGCCAGAGACAGCAGUUCCCCUUGCACUGUAGCUUCGAGUACUGGAGAUAACACUUCCUAUAAAUCAAGACAGGCUGUAAAAAGUGACAAAAACUGUGAAGUUCAGCUUGCCAGGAAACUGUUAUCGUGUAUGUGUAUUUUUUUUAGAAAAAAAACCCAUUUAAUAUCCACAUUCCAUUUUGUCAAUUUUUCAAAACCCCUGACAGGGAUGUGAAUGUUGCUCAAGAGCUGUUACAUAUCGUGAUUAUAAUUUGUUCUUUUUGAAGAAGGUGAUGUCUAAGUUGUUUUUGAUGAUUAUGUUUCCUUGGUCUAUAUUUAUUUGAAAGGCACUUUUCAAACCUGAGAAUUGUUUCCAAACAGUAUGCAUAAAUGAUUAGUACUGCUUGCAGUCGUGCAGUUUGAUCCCUAUUCCCUUUAGAUGUUAGUCUAGAUGUGAAGACAAUGCCCUACCUCGUGCAGAAAGAAUAGAUCUUAACUGCUGCAACAGCUGAAAGAGUUGGAAUGAUUUAAAGAUAAAACCAGCCACUUCCUAUAGAAUCAGUCAGAGCUCUGGGUUAUAAAAUCCACCGUAUACUUUGCAUGUGCUAACGAUGUGGUGUUUACUAGCAGAAUGCUGUGUAAAUGACUAGUAAAUACCAUGGCUUCAAACACACAGAUUUCCUGUUUUGAGCUUCAUCCUAUGGUCUACAUGCAACUUGGUCCUACUUUGCGGCUGCUAUGACACAAACCCUAAAUUAUCUUCUAAUUUUUCAAAUUCAGAAGAAACUCCAUUUAUUUAAUUGUUUAAUGCCUCUCUGAAGAAUCAAGGCAUUUUACCCUAGGCUCACCAGAAUGAAUACUUAUCCCAGACGUCUGCCUUCGAAAAGAAGGUUCUUCACCGAGCCAGUAAGGAAAAUAUUUUGUGAGUGUUGCAUUUUUUUUCCCAGCUAAGUGACAAGGAGCAUUUAAUUUUGGAUAAAAUAGGUGUAUAUAUUUUCUUCUUGUCAUUUUUUGUUUAACUCCAUUAUUAGUGUCCUCCACCAUUUGAAAACCAGGAAGGAACAACUUUUCUUGAGAAAAGAAUAGGUAACCACCUAGUGAAAUGUCAAAACCGAAGAAUCAUUGUGUUUUGAUAGCACGUUAUGUACUGAAGUCUGUAUAGCUCUCCAUACGUUCUGGUACAUUUUAGACUUGUAUUUAUUUGGAAAAAAAACCCAGGGAACAAUUGUUGCAAAAAUUAGCACAGGUUCCAGAAGAGAUAUAUGAGUAGAGGGACUGAUUUUUAAGGGUGCAACCAUAAGAUACAUGUGAAAUGAGCACAAACUAAUUUUAUCUUUGUCAGCACUAGCUGCAGUGUGGUCUGAUAGCUUUUAUACUCUUUGCUGGUUUUUGACCAGAGUCUUCCCCUCUGGAGAUCCAGUUCUUGGAGCCGUUCUUUCUCCUCCCCCAUCUGAUCUGAUACCUGUUUCCAAAUUUAAUGUGCUUUCUAUCCUUUGGUUCUUAAAUGACCUCUCUUUUCCUUUUACCUCUUCUGUUAUUUAAAGCUGCAAUGUAUAUUAAAACUCACAAAACAGGCCCAAGGCAAACCAAGCCGCAAACUGUAUCUAUGUAAUACGGGCAUGUGUGAUUGGGAACAACAGGACAGAGUUUCUUUAGUUAUUGUGGGGACAUUCAUGUAAGAGGCAAACAUCAUUUAAACAGAUGUUCUUCUGAAAUGCAGAAAAGGAGCUGGAUUGUGUCUCCCCUGCUUGGUGACAACAUGUCUUGAAGUACACCUGAUGCCUCAGUCCUUUUGCAUGCCAACUUGUGGCUGCAAAGCUGGAGGGAGGGAGGAAGCACAUCCUGCAAUUUUACUACGGGAGAAAAUAACAAAUAUCUCAAAUCAGACAACUACUGAGGGGCAACGCAGCACCGUUAUGCAUGGAGAUGGAGGAUGGCACAGCUGGAAUCAUGCAUGAUGGUAUCAGGUGGCACUAAAAUGUUUACCUGUGGUUGCUGUGAGAGUGGAGGGAGGCAUUGCCAUGACUUCUUUAGUCCGCCAAUAGAUCCAUUCCUAGUCCUUCAGCCUUCUUCUUCCUUUAAAGAAACGGAGAACGUCCUUCAGAAGUCCACUGUUCAUCUAUUUAAAAUUAUUUGUAAAUCCUUUGCUGAAAUUGGGCUUGCGUCAGAAGUGGGCUGAAAGAAGCAAUGAGCCAGAGCUGUGAGACAGACCAGAUAGAGUCUGUAUAACAUGUACCCCCCUAAAAAUAGUUACUGUCUUCUUCUAAAAGCAGUAACAGAAUAUAAGUUGUAAACUUGAUGUUCUUAGAUUGUCAGUUUGGCUCUAACUAAGCUACCAUUUAAGGCCAGUUUGUACAUGGGGUAGGAGUGUUAAAAAAAUAAUCGACGCUAGCUGCUUUCAUCAAUCACUUUCCAGUGAAUGAUUUUCUAUUUAAUUCCUGCUAAUGUUUGUCAGCAAUUUUCUCAUGGAUCUUUUUGCACUUCUUCUUUUUUUUUUUUUAACUCUUUCUUUGUUCUGGUAAAUUUGCCUGCUAAAGAAACUGUUUUAUUUCAUGGGCCACGCUGGAAGAAUGCCUGUGACUGCCCAGGUGAGGACUUGCUCCAAGUCAGAAAUGCUUUUAUAGUCAGCUAAGAAGGAACAAAUACACACCCCCAGAACCACGAAUUUCAACACCUCUUCUGGCAGCGCAUGCAAGACAGUAUCAUUUUUGAAAGCAUAAUAGUACUUCUAAAGUCAAAUUAAAGAUCUUACUUUCAAGAUAUCUUAUUUUCUGUUCCAAAUAAGCUGCAGUCUACAGUAUAACUCUGUCAUCCAGAAGAAAGCCUGAAAUUAAGAGAAACAUUAUAUGAUCCUAGCAUCUAUUAUGCAUCUUUUUAUUUGUUGAAGGCUUGCUGUAGAAUCUGCUUGUUUCCAAGGAAUGAAGAUUGCUUAUUAUCCCGGAUAAUGAAAGAGCAUGUCGUCAUCUAUAAUUGUUAGUUUAGGAUACUCACUGUACCCUUCUAUUAUAAAUAGGUUUGCAUUAAAAAAGGUUCAGCAAAGGAAGCAGCUUUAAAAGAUUUUCUUAAAAAAAGAAAGUUUGCAAGUGAAAUUUAUGCAUUUUUGACUGCAAAAUAUAUUGGAACAAGUUUCUUAAUUGACAGAUUGUAACUUGAAUAUGUAUGCUAUUUACUGAAUGCAAUCUGUGAAUAUUACAGCCUUUUUUCAAUGAUCAUAGAAGUGUGCUUCUAUAUAUACCUAAGUACAUAAAUAUACCCACCUGUCUAUGUA
Molecule: long non-coding RNA, 5545 nt
Organism: Aquila chrysaetos chrysaetos
Lineage: Eukaryota; Metazoa; Chordata; Aves; Accipitriformes; Accipitridae
Exons: 2
Source: RefSeq, a predicted model, not a curated record